CGCGUAGGCGGGCUGUCAAGUCUGGGGUGAAAUCCCACGGCUCAACCGUGGAACUGCCUUAGAUACUGACGGCCUCGAGGGAGAUAGGGGCGAGCGGAACUGUGAGUGGAGCGGUGAAAUGCGUUGAUAUUCACAGGAACUCCGGUGGCGAAGGCGGCUCGCUGGAUCUUUUUCCGACGCUCGAGGCGCGGAAAAGCUGGGAGGCAAACG
This 210-nucleotide ribosomal RNA is filed under the name uncultured bacterium. RNAcentral describes it as "partial 16S ribosomal RNA". It matches the Rfam family "Bacterial small subunit ribosomal RNA", at positions 568 to 774 of the family's 1533-position model. The record is from RNAcentral.